This 496-nucleotide ribosomal RNA is filed under the name uncultured bacterium. RNAcentral describes it as "partial 16S ribosomal RNA". It matches the Rfam family "Bacterial small subunit ribosomal RNA", at positions 30 to 523 of the family's 1533-position model. The record is from RNAcentral.
AUUGAACGCUGGCGGAAUGCUUUACACAUGCAAGUCGAACGGUAGAGGGGGCAACCCCUCGAGAGUGGCGAACGGGUGAGUAAUAUAUCGGAACGUGCCCAGUCGUGGGGGAUAACGUAGUGAAAGUUACGCUAAUACCGCAUACGAUCUAAGGAUGAAAGCGGGGGAUCGCAAGACCUCGCGCGAUUGGAGCGGCCGAUAUCAGAUUAGGUAGUUGGUGGGGUAAAGGUUCACCAAGCCAACGAUCUGUAGCUGGUCUGAGAGGACGACCAGCCACACUGGAACUGAGACACGGUCCAGACUCCUACGGGAGGCAGCAGUGGGGAAUUUUGGACAAUGGACGCAAGUCUGAUCCAGCCAUUCCGCGUGCAGGAUGAAGGCCCUCGGGUUGUAAACUGCUUUUGUACGGAACGAAAAGGUCUCUCUUAAUACUAGGAGCUCAUGACGGUACUGUAAGAAUAAGCACCGGCUAACUACGUGCCAGCAGCCGCGGUAA